This is a non-coding RNA of Cordylochernes scorpioides, 72 nucleotides long. NCBI's taxonomy places the organism in Eukaryota, Metazoa, Arthropoda, Arachnida, Pseudoscorpiones, Chernetidae. The record is from the annotation of a GenBank genome assembly.
UUCCCACGCCGGGAAUCGAACCCGUGCCAUCUGGGUGAAAGUCAGAUAUAUUAGCUACUAGACUACAUGGAA